Molecule: ribosomal RNA, 460 nt
Filed under: uncultured bacterium
Lineage: Bacteria
Description: partial 16S ribosomal RNA
Rfam family: Bacterial small subunit ribosomal RNA
Source: RNAcentral
CCUACGGGAGGCAGCAGUGAGGAAUAUUGGUCAAUGGCCGGAAGGCUGAACCAGCCAUGCCGCGUGAAGGUCAGUGCCCUAUGGGCGUUAAACUUCUUUUGUGCGGGAGCAAUAAUGGGCACGUGUGGCCAGACGAGAGUACCGUACGAAUAAGCAUCGGGUAAAACCGUGCCAGCAGCCGCGGUAAUACGGGGGAUGCAAGCGUUUUCCGGAGUUAUUGGGUUUAAAGGGUGCGGAGGCUGUGAGGGAAGUCAGCGGUGAAAUGCCCCCGCGCAACGGGGUGAAGUGCCAUUGAUACUGCCUGGCUGGAAUGCGGAUGCCGUGGGAGGAAUGUGUGGUGUAGCGGUGAAAUGCAUAGAUAUCACACAGAACACCGAUUGCGAAGGCAUCUCACGAAUCCGCGAUUGACGCUGAUGCACGAAAGCGUGGGUAUCAAACAGGAUUAGAUACCCGGGUAGUC